CCAAACGGGAUAGCUAAUGGAUAUCAGGUUAAUAUUCCUGUACUUCCUUACAGUGCAAGGUAGGGACGUGAACAUCAGGUGCUUACGUACUGACGGAAUAGUGCGUCGAGCCUAGCCUUUGGGCGAAGCAAAAGCAAGUAGUGUCCACCAAGAAAAGCUACCAAAGCUUCAGCUGUAAGGAACUCGUACCGCAAACCAACACAGGUAGUCGAGGAGAGUAUCCACAGGUGCUCGAGUGAUUCAUGGCUAAGGAACUAGGCAAAUUGACCCUGUAACUUCGGAAGAAAGGGUCCCCGACUACGGUCGGGGCGCAGAGAAAUGGCCCAGGCGACUGUUUAACAAAAACACAUGGCUUUGCUAAAUCGAAAGAUGACGUAUAAGGCCUGACACCUGCCCGGUGCUGGAAGGUUAAGGGGAGAGGUUAUCCCGACUCGUCGGGAGAAGCUUCAAACUGAAGCCCCAGUAAACGGCGGCCGUAACAAUAACGGUCCUAAGGUAGCGAAAUUCCUUGUCGGGUAAGUUCCGACCUGCACGAAUGGUGUAACGAUCUGGGCACUGUCUCAGCCAUGAGCUCGGUGAAAUUGUAGUAGCGGUGAAGAUGCCGCUUACCCGCAACGGGACGGGAAGACCCCGUGAACCUUUACUAUAGCUUAACAUUGACUCUGGAUAAAUGAUGUGUAGGAUAGGUGGGAGACUGUGAAGUCCCAACGCCAGUUGGGAUGGAGUCAACCUUGAAAUACCACCCUUCGUUUAUUCGGAGCCUAAUCCCCUCUAUCGCGGGAAACAGUGUUUGGUGGGUAGUUUGACUGGGGUGGUCGCCUCCAAAAACGUAACGGAGGCUCUCAAAGGUACCCUCAGCACGCUUGGUAACCGUGCGUCGAGUGCAAUGGCAUAAGGGUGCUUGACUGCGAGACUUACUAGUCGAACAGGUAGGAAACUAGGACAUAGUGAUCCGGUGGUCCCAUAUGGAAGGGCCAUCGCUCAAAGGAUAAAAGGUACUCCGGAUAACAGGCUGAUCACUCCCAAGAGCUCACAUCGACGGAGUGGUUUGGCACCUCGAUGUCGGCUCGUCAUAUCCUGGGGCUGGAGAAGGUCCCAAGGGUUCGGCUGUUCGCCGAUUAAAAUGGCACGCGAGCUGGGUUCAGAACGUCGUGAGACAGUUCGGUCCCUAUCUGUUGCGGGCGUGGGAAGUUUGAGGGGACCUGACCUUAGUACGAGAGGACCGGGUUGGACAAACCGCUGGUGUACCUGCUGUGGCGCCUAGCUGCACCGCAGGGUAGCUAUGUUUGGACGAGAGAAGUGCUGAAAGCAUCUAAGUACGAAACUCACCCCAAGAUGAGACUUCCAUUGAGGGCCCUUGUAGACUACAAGGUCGAUAGGCUGCAGGUGUAAAGAUGGUAACAUCCGUGCCAAGCAGUACUAAUCGCCC
Molecule: ribosomal RNA, 1429 nt
Filed under: metagenome
Description: bacterial LSU rRNA
Rfam family: Bacterial large subunit ribosomal RNA
Source: RNAcentral